UGGGGAAUAUUGCACAAUGGGCGCAAGCCUGAUGCAGCCAUGCCGCGUGUAUGAAGAAGGCCUUCGGGUUGUAAAGUACUUUCAGCGAGGAGGAAGGCGUUGUGGUUAAUAACCGCAACGAUUGACGUUACUCGCAGAAGAAGCACCGGCUAACUCCGUGCCAGCAGCCGCGGUAAUACGGAGGGUGCAAGCGUUAAUCGGAAUUACUGGGCGUAAAGCGCACGCAGGCGGUCUGUCAAGUCGGAUGUGAAAUCCCCGGGCUCAACCUGGGAACUGCAUCAGAAACUGGCAGGGUAGAGUCUUGUAGAGGGGGGUAGAAUUCCAGGUGUAGCGGUGAAAUGCGUAGAGAUCUGGAGGAAUACCGGUGGCGAAGGCGGCCCCCUGGACAAAGACUGACGCUCAGGUGCGAAAGCGUGGGGAGCAAACA
RNAcentral lists this ribosomal RNA (427 nucleotides) under uncultured bacterium. RNAcentral's name for it is "partial 16S ribosomal RNA". It matches the Rfam family "Bacterial small subunit ribosomal RNA", at positions 355 to 774 of the family's 1533-position model. The record is from RNAcentral.